GUAGUCCACGCCCUAAACGAUGAUCACUGGACGUUGGGAGGAAUCAGCCUCUUAGUGUCGAAGCUAACGCGUGAAGUGAUCCGCCUGGGGAGUAUGCGCGCAAGCGUGAAACUCAAAGGAAUUGACGGGGGCCCGCACAAGCGGUGGAGUAUGUGGUUUAAUUCGAUGCAACGCGAAGAACCUUACCUGGUCUUGACAUCCACGGAAUCCUGUAGAGAUAUGGGAGUGCCGCAAGGAACCGUGAGACAGGUGCUGCAUGGCUGUCGUCAGCUCGUGUCGUGAGAUGUUGGGUUAAGUCCCGCAACGAGCGCAACCCUUGCCCUUAUUUGCCAGCACGUAAUGGUGGGAACUCUAAGGGGACUGCCGGUGACAAACCGGA
This 379-nucleotide ribosomal RNA is filed under the name uncultured bacterium. Its description in RNAcentral is "bacterial SSU rRNA". It matches the Rfam family "Bacterial small subunit ribosomal RNA", at positions 790 to 1167 of the family's 1533-position model. The record is from RNAcentral.